This 460-nucleotide ribosomal RNA is filed under the name uncultured bacterium. Its description in RNAcentral is "partial 16S ribosomal RNA". It matches the Rfam family "Bacterial small subunit ribosomal RNA", at positions 338 to 795 of the family's 1533-position model. The record is from RNAcentral.
CCUACGUGCGGCAGCAGUGAGGAAUAUUGGUCAAUGGACGAGAGUCUGAACCAGCCAAGUAGCGUGAAGGAUGACUGCCCUAUGGGUUGUAAACUUCUUUUAUAUGGGACUAAAAUGUUCCCCGUGUGGGAUUUUGUAUGUACCAUAUGAAUAAGGAUCGGCUAACUCCGUGCCCGCAGCCGCGGUAAUACGGAGGAUCCGAGCGUUAGCCGGAUUUAUUGGGGUUAAAGGGAGCGUAGGUGGAUUGUUAAGUCAGUUGUGAAAGUUUGCGGCUCAACCGUAAAAUUGCAGUUGAAACUGGCAGUAUUGAGUACAGUAGAGGUGGGCGGAAUGCGUGGUGUAGCGGUGAAAUGCUUAGAUAUCACGAAGAACGCCGAUUGCGAAGACAGUUCACUGGACUGCAACUGACACUGAGGCUCGAAAGUGUGGGUAUCAAACAGGAUUAGAUACCCGGGUAGUC